UUGCUUUUGGGAAGAAGAUGUCCCUCAUAUCCAAAUUAUCCAUCUGCUUCACUUUGUCAGCUCUUUUUUUCCUAAUAUUUUGCUGAUCAUUUUAGGAUGGAAUAUUC
Molecule: small nucleolar RNA, 107 nt
Organism: Trifolium pratense (red clover)
Lineage: Eukaryota; Viridiplantae; Streptophyta; Magnoliopsida; Fabales; Fabaceae
Product: small nucleolar RNA snoR99
Exons: 1
Source: RefSeq, a predicted model, not a curated record